UAUUGGUGUAUAAGUCAAAAA
Molecule: non-coding RNA, 21 nt
Filed under: Caenorhabditis elegans
Lineage: Eukaryota; Metazoa; Nematoda; Chromadorea; Rhabditida; Rhabditidae
Source: RNAcentral